RNAcentral lists this transfer RNA (73 nucleotides) under Stegodyphus mimosarum. It matches the Rfam family "tRNA". Rfam says of the family: Transfer RNA (tRNA) molecules are approximately 80 nucleotides in length. The record is from Rfam by way of RNAcentral. Lineage: Eukaryota; Metazoa; Arthropoda; Arachnida; Araneae; Eresidae.
GCUUUCGUGGUGUAGUGGUCAGAACGCUCAGCGCGUAUUCGAGAGGUCCGUGGUUCGAGUCCCGGCGAGGGCA